AAGUUGUUCUCCAAAAUUUAGUUCUCCAACCAAACGCAGCCUAACAGUAUAACAUUGCAACUAGUACUUUUUAUCAUUCAAUCGAACAAAGAGUAAAACCUAAUUAUAUUGUUCUAUUAUGCCCCGAGAGUGUAAAUUUGGAACGAAUCUAUGUCAACUUUCGCAAGAACCAAAGCCGGAACAACAUUAGAAAACUCAGUUGCGACCUAACUGUAUAACGUUUCAACAAGUAGUUUUUCUCAUUCUAUCGAACAAAGAGUAAAACCUUAUUAAAUUGUUCUAUUAUGCCCCGAGAGUGUAAAUUUGGAACAAAUCGAUGUCAACUUUCGCAAGAACCAAAACCGGAACAACAUUAGACAACUCAGUUUCGACCUAACAGUAUAACGUUGCAACAAGUAGUUUUUCUCAUUCUAUCGAACAAAGAGUAAAACCUAAUUAAAUUGUUCUAUUAUACCCCGAGAGUGUAANGAGUGCCCUGCGAGCGAGAGCGAGAGAAAGAGAAAGGGGAGAGCGCGAGAUGACGAGAGAGGAGACGAGAGAGGCGCGAGAUCAAGAGAGAGGCGAGGGAGCGAGCGGGACCGAGAGAGCGAGCGGGACCGAGAAGGAGGUGAAGGGGAGAGAGAGAGAAAGAGAUGUGUAGUAGGGUUUAGCUUUAGGAAGAAAAAAUAAAAGGGGAGUGAAGUUAGCUGCUACUGUG
This 697-nucleotide long non-coding RNA is filed under the name Ananas comosus (pineapple). RNAcentral's name for it is "long non-coding RNA (ACOM_LNC017116)". Lineage: Eukaryota; Viridiplantae; Streptophyta; Magnoliopsida; Poales; Bromeliaceae. The record is from RNAcentral.